GUGGGUGUGGCCUAGCGGUUAGGGCGUCAGGUUGUGGCCCUGAAGAUCGGGGGUUCGAAUCCCCUCACCCACCCCA
Molecule: transfer RNA, 76 nt
Filed under: Chloroflexota bacterium
Lineage: Bacteria; Bacillati; Chloroflexota
Also listed under: 1 other name
Description: Chloroflexi bacterium tRNA-His
Rfam family: tRNA
About the family: Transfer RNA (tRNA) molecules are approximately 80 nucleotides in length. Their secondary structure includes four short double-helical elements and three loops (D, anti-codon, and T loops).
Source: RNAcentral